Molecule: unclassified non-coding RNA, 348 nt
Filed under: soil metagenome
Description: partial contains 5.8S ribosomal RNA, internal transcribed spacer 2, and large subunit ribosomal RNA
Rfam family: 5.8S ribosomal RNA (bases 1-120)
Source: RNAcentral
GAUGAAGAACGUAGCGAAAUGCGAUAAGUAAUGUGAAUUGCAGAAUUCAGUGAAUCAUCGAAUCUUUGAACGCACAUUGCGCCCGCCAGUAUUCUGGCGGGCAUGCCUGUCUGAGCGCCAUUUCAACCCUCAUGCCCCUAGGGCGUGGUGUUGGGGAUCGGCCAAAGCCCGCGAGGGACGGCCGGCCCCUAAAUCUAGUGGCGGACCCGUCGUGGCCUCCUCUGCGAAGUAGUGAUAUUCCGCAUCGGAGAGCGACGAGCCCCUGCCGUUAAACCCCCAACUUUCCAAGGUUGACCUCAGAUCAGGUAGGAAUACCCGCUGAACUUAAGCAUAUCAAUAAGCGGAGGA